RNAcentral lists this ribosomal RNA (463 nucleotides) under uncultured Clostridiaceae bacterium. Its description in RNAcentral is "bacterial SSU rRNA". It matches the Rfam family "Bacterial small subunit ribosomal RNA", at positions 8 to 466 of the family's 1533-position model. The record is from RNAcentral. Lineage: Bacteria; Bacillati; Bacillota; Clostridia; Eubacteriales; Clostridiaceae.
AGAGUUUGAUCCUGGCUCAGGACGAACGCUGGCGGCGUGCUUAACACAUGCAAGUCGAGCGAUGAAGUCCCUUCGGGGACGGAUUAGCGGCGGACGGGUGAGUAACACGUGGGCAACCUGCCUCAAAGAGGGGGAUAGCCUCCCGAAAGGGAGAUUAAUACCGCAUAAUAUUAGAGUGUCACAUGAUACUCUAAUCAAAGGAGUAAUCCGCUUUGAGAUGGGCCCGCGGCGCAUUAGCUAGUUGGUGAGGUAACGGCUCACCAAGGCAACGAUGCGUAGCCGACCUGAGAGGGUGAUCGGCCACAUUGGAACUGAGACACGGUCCAGACUCCUACGGGAGGCAGCAGUGGGGAAUAUUGCACAAUGGGGGAAACCCUGAUGCAGCAACGCCGCGUGAGUGAUGAAGGUCUUCGGAUUGUAAAGCUCUGUCUUUUGGGACGAUAAUGACGUACCAAAGUAGAGC